GGCAUAUGCAGGGAGAGUGUGGCUUGCCAGCCGGACUGACGCAUUCACCAGGAGAUGCAGAGCGGAACUUGUGGAGUAAGGUUCUGGAAGUCCCAUUUACUUGCAUGAAAUUUACUUACAUCCUUACCGUAAGGAGGUAGUGUCUGGCCCAGGAGAAGCUGUCUCUACCUCGGACCAUGCAUAGGCUAACGGUGUCCUGGCGUCACAAAGUGAUCAGAACUGCUUCCGGGGCUCCAGAAUCAGAAGUCAAUAAAUAAUACCGCAUGGAGUGUUCACCAAGACCUGGUCUCUGUCUUCCGAUUUCCCCAAGUUUGUUGGUAUGAGUGACUACCCUGAAUUUCUUAUGGAUUUUUAUCCCGUUUACCAGUGCAGAAGGACAACACUUGCAUUCUAAAAUGGUUUGGAUAAGACUGUAUAUAACAUUCAUGAUACGGGGAGUUCGGCGUUACCAGCCUUGGCGUUCAGACCAGGUUGCUGUGGAAACUGUUUGAUGGAAGCAUAUUCAUCGCUCACAGGGAAUUCCCUUGGAUCUGUAACAUCUGAGAAAUCUGUAUCUCACAUUCCAAUACAUCGUAUGGCCCCUGGGCCAGAUACAAGCUAUAGGAGCCUCUGCGAUCCCUGAAAACGCCAAAGCUGGUAAACUACAUUACCAUCUCAGGCAGAAAAAAUGUAGCCAACUCUUACACUUUACUACAGGUUUUCUGGAAGUUCCACCAUGUGAACAAGACUAUAAAUUCCUAUUUGCACCCUGGAUAUAAAGCAUGCUGAGGACUGUCACUGUACAUUGCAAAACACAU
Hyla sarda is the source of this 797-nucleotide long non-coding RNA. RefSeq lists it as uncharacterized. The transcript is spliced from 4 exons. Lineage: Eukaryota; Metazoa; Chordata; Amphibia; Anura; Hylidae. The record is from RefSeq and is a predicted model, not a curated record.